GACAUAGGUGGCAAACGUUAUCCGGAAUUAUUGGGCGUAAAGGGUGCGUAGAUGGUACGAUAAGUUAUCAGUGGCAAAUCGGGGCUCAACCCCGUGGAAGUUGGUAAUACUGUCAUACUAGAGUACAGAAGAGGUUAACGGAACUCCAUGUGGAGCGGUAAAAUGCGUAGAUAUAUGGAUGAACAUCAAUAACGGCGAAGGCAGUUAACUAUUCUGUUACUGACAUUGAGGCACGAAAGCGUGGGGAGCAAAAAGG
Molecule: ribosomal RNA, 256 nt
Filed under: uncultured bacterium
Lineage: Bacteria
Description: partial 16S ribosomal RNA
Rfam family: Bacterial small subunit ribosomal RNA
Source: RNAcentral